This 747-nucleotide long non-coding RNA is filed under the name Felis catus (domestic cat). RNAcentral's name for it is "lncRNA (ENSFCAG00000048949.1)". Lineage: Eukaryota; Metazoa; Chordata; Mammalia; Carnivora; Felidae. The record is from RNAcentral.
CACAUUGUUUUCUUUAUACGUCCCAACGGGAUUGGUUCUGCGACCUUCGUUUGUAACGAUUCACCAAGAUAAUUCACAUAAAGUGCCAGGCAUAGAGCCUGGCAUGGAGUAAUUGUUCAGUAAUUGCAAGUUCUUCCACUUGACCAUGAAAGCAGUACCUUCUCUUGCGACAGCGUCAUCCCAAAAGGAUCAGACUCACCCUAAGUGGCAUGGCUCCCUUUAUCACAGCAUCGCCACCGCCGUAAGCACUUUGCAUCUUUUAAUGUAUUAAUGAGCUAAUCUUACUAGUCAUUUCUCACAAUCACCUUUUGCAGAUGAAGAAACUGCAGCACAGUGAAGUUCAGGGACUUGUCAAUGUUCACAUGAGCCAAUUAGUGGUGUUCAUCACUGUCAACAGCCAUGUGCCAGGCAAUGCGCUGGAAUCUGGGGAUACGAUGGUUGUAAGAAGCCAACUCUGACCUGACGAGGUAGCUGAAAGAAUUGAGCUAAUGGAGUAAGUCGUGUUUCUUGUUUUUUAGCUUUUAGAAUACCCUUUUCUCCAGGGCCUUGGUUAGUCAUCAACACAGAAAAAAGCAGGAACGUUGAAGAGAGCUACAUAAUAAUAUUUAAUUUUUACUUUCUUCAUUAAAUACUAAUAUACUUUAAAACAGUGGCUGGGUAAAUGAAGAAAAAUUUCUUUAUUUUAAUCAUUUUUUAAAAAUCCACUGGAGUAAGCCACUAUAUGAUUUUUAUAUAGUAUUUCAAAUG